ACCCACCCUCUGUUCCAGGCAGAGGCGUCUGUUGUGUAAUAGGGAAGAAGAUGAGAAGUAAAAAUCGCCCACAAACAGAAGCUGGAACAAAAUAUUUCAUCCAAGUCUUUGUCCUUAGCAUUCUACUCUUAUAAUGCAAUGCUGAGUAAUGGGCAAGAUUAGGAUUUGUUGGGUUAAAUUUACAACACUAUCCGGGACUGUGCAUGCUUACUGGAAAUUACUGAUCUGUUUAAGAACAAGUGCCCUGCUAAUGCUGCCAACACACUGGUGCCAACCAUCUGUCCUCUGAGAAACAUAGAGGAGGAAGCUACAGUGAUCUAAGAGCGGUGGGCAAAUGAACACUAAUGAAACACAAUACUCGAUCCAUUCAUCAUGACAUUCGGACGAUAUUAUAUCAACACUUCGCAUAUGAUCCUGUGACAUCACAUCACAUCACUAUCUGCCGUUUGAUCCGAAGCUGAAGGUCAGUGGGAACAUUUAACCAGGUUUUGUGGUUCCAACCUUACCUUAGUGGUUUUCAAAACACUGACCACAACAAAGGCAUCAUUAAACUCUGGCUUUAACAGGCUUUAAUUAAUAGGGUCAUUCCAUGUAUCAGGUCAGUCAGCUGAACCGUUUGCAGUCACCACAGAUGAGCUCAUCGUGCGCUGCUCUGAAGAACACAGAUUCUCAUGACACACUAUUGCUGGCACAUAGAAAAUUCAACUGCAAUAGCUGCAAUAAACAGUUUAUGAUACAGUAGAUGUUAUCACAUGUUCUUCCCUUGGUUAAUAAUGUCUAAAUAAUGCACACAAGCUUGGCCAUAUCUAAUUCCUGCAGUGAACUCAAUAUUUUACAGCUGUUAUAAUAACACAUACAAAACUGGAAUUUUAUAUUAUGACAGAGUGCUUAGCUAGUAUAUAUUAACCUAAAAGUAAUGACAGAAAGUAAUUUAGACUCAUCUCUCAUUUUAUAAAAGCCAAUAAAAAUCAUUAAGGUGAUAUUUUUAUUACAGCUGUUUUACUAAACCUUCACCAUUUUAGACUUGAGAUAUGGUUCUAGGUGGAUGACCUUCUGGUCAUGUUUACUGGCUUUAAAUAGUUGUGACAGGAGCUAAAAGAUUUAACAGAUCGUGUUUUUCACAGAUAAUGUUAACAAGUCUUAUGUUAGCAUGCAUAAUAUUAAAAUACUCUUUAAAAUAUUAAAUACAGAUAAAGUUAGGAAAUAUUGCGGUUAUUCAGCAAGGAUGCAUGAAAUUGAUCAAAAACAACAAAAGAUUUCCAUUUCAAAUAAAUGCUGUUCUUUUCAUUCCUCAAAGAAUCCUGGGGGAAAUUUAGUAGAGUUUCCACAAAAAUGCUAAGCAGCAAAACUGUUUUCAGCACCGAUAAUAAUAAGAAAGGUUAAAAUACUAUCAUUCUGAAGGAUCACGUGAGACUAGAAUAACGGCGGCUGAAAAUUUAGCUUUGGCCAUCACAGGAAUAAAUUAUUAUUUUUUAAAUAUAUUAAAACAGAAAAUUGUUAUUUAAAACUGUAAUAACUUUUUUUAAAUAUUAAUGUUUUUUACUGUAUUUUUUAUCAAAUAAAUGCAGCCUUGGUGAGCAUAAAAGACUUCUUUCAGUAGACUCCAAAACAGUAAUCGAUAGAUAGAUAUUAUUAUUAUUUUUUUUAAGAGAUUUUGUAUUAUUAUAUUGCAUUCACAAGGCUUUCCCAGUGGAAAGCACCCCUGACAUGGGAACCUUGGCUGCCAUGGCAACAUGCCACGAAAUUAAAUAUUUACUGCAGUGGUUCUGGCCAGCCAGUGUAUAACAUAGAUUCCUUCAGCUGCUGUUUUAACAGACCAGGUGCACAUUGACAUUAACCCAUUUGUUAUGCUUACUGAUUAAUUAACAAUGACAGGGCUACGAAAAGUCAUCCAGUUUGCUCAAGUGAUAUUGCUGCUUGACUUUUUAAUAGUCAAAAACAUUCCUUAGUAAGUCACACAAGGUUAAAAAUUGUCCAGACUUUGGCACAUUAUUAAGCCAAUGAGAAAACGUCAGUCUUUAGCAAUGUGGGUCAUGUCCGGCACAUUAACAACAGCAGUUUAUCAUGUGACCAGGAGCUCUUGGUGUGUUUGUCAUAUCCCACUUAAGCCAGCAAAUGUGUAACUUGUACUCAAGUUAAAAGUUAAGCAGCUAAAUGUGAUUGCACCACAUGCUAGAGUACAUCCGGCUAGUGUGAUUACAGCUUCAUCUCAGAAAUGUC
This is a long non-coding RNA of Carassius gibelio (silver crucian carp), 2220 nucleotides long. RefSeq lists it as uncharacterized. The transcript has 2 exons. NCBI's taxonomy places the organism in Eukaryota, Metazoa, Chordata, Actinopteri, Cypriniformes, Cyprinidae. The record is from RefSeq and is a predicted model, not a curated record.